AACGAACGCUGGCGGCAUGCCUAACACAUGCAAGUCGAACGGCAGCACGGGGCAACCUGGUGGCGAGUGGCGAACGGGUGAGUAAUACAUCGGAACGUGCCCAAUCGUGGGGGAUAACGUAGCGAAAGCUACGCUAAUACCGCAUACGAUCUACGGAUGAAAGCGGGGGAUCGCAAGACCUCGCGCGAAUGGAGCGGCCGAUGGCAGAUUAGGUAGUUGGUGGGGUAAAGGCUCACCAAGCCGACGAUCUGUAGCUGGUCUGCGAGGACGACCAGCCACACUGGGACUGAGACACGGCCCAGACUCCUACGGGAGGCAGCAGUGGGGAAUUUUGGACAAUGGGCGCAAGCCUGAUCCAGCCAUUCCGCGUGCAGGAUGAAGGCCUUCGGGUUGUAAACUGCUUUUGUACGGAACGAAAAGGCUCUGGUUAAUACCCGGGGCUCAUGACGGUACCGUAAGAAUAAGCACCGGCUAACUACGUGCCAGCCGCCGCCGUAA
This 498-nucleotide ribosomal RNA is filed under the name uncultured bacterium. RNAcentral's name for it is "partial 16S ribosomal RNA". It matches the Rfam family "Bacterial small subunit ribosomal RNA", at positions 29 to 523 of the family's 1533-position model. The record is from RNAcentral.